This is a long non-coding RNA of Chroicocephalus ridibundus (black-headed gull), 742 nucleotides long. RefSeq lists it as uncharacterized. The transcript has 6 exons. Lineage: Eukaryota; Metazoa; Chordata; Aves; Charadriiformes; Laridae. The record is from RefSeq and is a predicted model, not a curated record.
UUCUGUAGAGACAUGGAGCAAUUCUCUCUCCGGCAAUAAGGCUCAGCCCGGUCAGUCAAGUUCCAGGGAGCUCCUGAAAACACAAGUCUGUCUAUGCCUCGGCUGCAGCACCCAAAAAUUUUCAGGUGAGGGUAACUUACACAUUUCCUGAAUGAAAGAAAAAUGGGCCAACGUGAGAGGGAGCAGGAGAGAAGAUGUACAGCAGUCCUACGAUGACACCAAAUUUAGCAGCAAAAAACGAUCCGCUUCUGCUGGACCACGUGUUUCUCAGAACUGGGAGUAGCUGCCAGCAAGAGCGGCUCACAGGGAGAGGCGAUGGCUGUUUACCUGCGCUGCUCAGCCGGGCCGGGGAGGACAGAUGGCUGGAAAGAGAGGAAGAAUUCCUAAUGGCAUCCCCGUUGGUGAAAGCUGGAACAUAAGGAUCUGGAUCACAUCCAGUAACAGAACUAAAACCAAUCCUACGUCAAGACAGUAUAACAACCAGGGGAUUGUAGAUGCUAAGCACAGCUCGGAAACUGAGGCACGAAGAAAGGACUUUGCUCAAGGCAGUGAGGAAGAUCUUCAGCAAGGUUGGCAACUCCCAAGAGAUGAUCCGAGUUUCUGCCAAGUGCCUUGAUACCCACUUGUGUUCUCCGACAGAAGACAGUGACAUGACACGAAUGGUAGCACAAGGCUCUUACUGUUGCCUUCAAUAAUUGAUUCUCCUGGAUGGAUUGUGACUCCCCAAAGGCUGCAAAGAGAG